AAUCGAAGAGUUAGGAUUGAAACAACGAAAGCGAGGCCAAGGUACAGAAAAGUAAGAAGAUCGAUCUUAAGAGCAGCAACGCAGCAUACCAUCAUUAGGGGAUCAAAUCAGAAGUAAACAACAAAUGGAGAAAAGAAUU
Long non-coding RNA from Hibiscus syriacus, 139 nucleotides. RefSeq lists it as uncharacterized. Lineage: Eukaryota; Viridiplantae; Streptophyta; Magnoliopsida; Malvales; Malvaceae. The record is from RefSeq and is a predicted model, not a curated record. The transcript is spliced from 4 exons.